Molecule: long non-coding RNA, 654 nt
Organism: Pseudophryne corroboree (corroboree frog)
Lineage: Eukaryota; Metazoa; Chordata; Amphibia; Anura; Myobatrachidae
Exons: 3
Source: RefSeq, a predicted model, not a curated record
AUUCACAGUCCUGUGAAUUAGAGGCAGUACGCACCUGCAAUCAUCAGUGCUGACAGGCAGCAAGACUCCCUAUCAGUCCAGCUCAGAUAACGUUCUGAUGCAGCUGCACAGACACAAGGUCAACCUCACUGAGUUGUAACGGGUUACUAUGGUGAUGGGACGUCACUAUGAUUCUCCACGCCCCCCCUAUGUUGCCGGGUCGCCGGCGCGGGAGCGCGCCAAUGACGUCAUCGGCUCGAGGAGGGUGCCGUGGAAGCAAGUGCACGAGGUGUUGGGCUUCAUCAGCGUUCCCAAACUCGGUCGCCUAUGGAUUUUUAAAAUGUGGAGAGGAGUUGGAGAUUUCUAAUGCAGCAGAACUUAUCGAUUCUAUUUAUUUAGAUACCCCAAAAUUACAUACAUUUAUAAGUAAUAUAUCCAAACAGGGGUGCUGCCUCAGACCAAUAUUAAUUAUGGAGGAACAAAGGAAAGAAAAUGGAGUCCAAUUGUGGCGCACUAAGUAGAAAAGAGUAUUAAAAUUUAACUUUUAUUAAUUCAAUGUUAACAUAUUCAUGUAUCAAAACAGUGAAAUAUUGUCUAGAAGAUAAUAAAGUGAAUAAAAAGAAAAAUAUUUUUUUUUGUGUGUAUUAAAAACUCAACUGUGUAUCCAAUUCCUGU